CUCCAGACCAAUUGAACCAGAAUCUCUGAGGCGGGGCCUGGGUGUUGGUAAUUUUCCUUUGAAACACUCCCCAGGUGAUUCUAAUGGAAUCUAGGAGUGAGAAUCACUGGGGGAAGGCAUUUGUAGAUGGGAAGGCUGGUGGCAUCUGCUAGAAGACUUGAUGUGUACUUGGCCAGAGAUAAACCACAGGUCUGGCCUGAAUGGGUGUGGAAAUGUGUCAGUCAUGUUUUCAGAUUUCCAAGGUCAUUUUCCAAGAGACCUCUGUGAGCUUGGACUGGAUAGCGCAGCACAGGGCCAGCGAUGGCAGCUGGAAGGGUGGCUGCCUAGGAAGGAGCUGACUCUUCUGUCUCCUCUACCCCUUUAAGGGCCCCAUGAUUAUGUUGUGUGUAAUUUCAUCUGCAAAGCCACGUAAGCAUAUUGUGCCAAGGUAACACAUUCACAAAUUCCAGGGGAUAAAAACAUGAACAUCUUUUGCUGGGGGUUCUAGCAAAUCCACCUGGCUAAGGGAUGCAUCUUCCUUUACUACUCAUUGUCAAUUCUCUCCAGAAAGUCUUUCUGACCCCAGUCCUUGCCCACCAGGCUGGAUUCAGUGCCAGUCCUCUGUGUUACAGCAUCAUAGAACUUCCCUUGUUCAGCUGUCCAUUACCCUAUAACUCUUUCACCAGAUUGUGCUUUUUGAGUACAGAAACUGACAUUUCUGUAUCAUUUAGUAGAGUGUCUGGUACAUAGUACAUGCUCAAGAAAUGCUUAUUGAAUAAAUGAAUGAUGGGAAAAUUUAUUAUAUACUUAAAAAUUUUUGAUCAAAUAAUUACUGGUUGGAAAGUAUCCCUUAAACAACACAAAUAUUGAAAUAUUCAGUGAGAGGAAAAUCUAUGCAUAUCAAUACUGUGCUUCCUGAGAAUUAUCUUUACACAGAAGACUUCUUGAAAAAUAAAUAAACAUUGUGUUUGUGAAUUGUCCAGGCCUGGAUCUUGAGGAGGAAGGCACUUCUGAAAUAGCUGCAACUCCCGGCACAUUGUAGGGUUGAACUUCCCUGUUUGCAUUACAUAGGACUGGUCAUCUGACUGGCUGUGGCCAGUGAAAAUGUAGAUGAAAAUAGCCUGUAUCACCUCUGGACGAGUCAUUAGGAGUCAGUGUAUGAUUUGAUACAUUUCCUUCUCUCUGCCAUGGUGAUUGGUGAUGGAGGCUCUAUUAGUUUUUGUUCCUGAGUAAAGUAAUGUGGGUAUGAGUCCCUAGCUGACUUCCAAUACGAGUGAGAAAUAAACCUUAAUUGUUUUAAGCCUCCAAGCUUUGGAGUUUGUUGUACAGCCCACCAUGACAAAUAUACUUUUAGUCCUUUAUUUACAUGCUUUAAAAUACUGCUUGCAUUUUCUGAUUACCAUAUGUUCAUUGUGGAGAAUUUCAAAAAAUAUAAAAAAAAACCUUUGAAAUCACUUACAUAGAAAUAGUCUCUGUUAAUAUUUUGAUGUAUUGUCUUCCUCUCCCAAUUUAAAAAAUCAGGAUCCUAAUAUAUACGAUAUUGAUUUUUUCACUUCAUAUAUACUCUUAAAAUACAUGAAUUUGCUGCAUAUUAUUAAUUGAUGAGGAAGUGUUAUAAUCUAUUUUUAUAUUUAUGUUUUAUAUUUAUACUAUACAAUUCAUAAGAGUCACAUUUUAUUUUUGUACUUUUUCUUGUUGUAAAUAACAUUCCAAUGAAACUUUUGUGAUUAAGUCUUUGCUCAAAUUGCUGCUGCUGUCCUUGGAGUAGAUCCCUAGAAGGUGAACGACUAGGUCAAGGAGUAUGCAUACUUUUAAGAUUUUUGCUACCUAUUGCCAGGAGAAAGGUUAUACCAAUUAACACGUCAGC
RNAcentral lists this long non-coding RNA (1846 nucleotides) under Homo sapiens (human). Its description in RNAcentral is "HSALNT0017990". The record is from RNAcentral. Lineage: Eukaryota; Metazoa; Chordata; Mammalia; Primates; Hominidae.